GAUGAACGCUGGCGGCGUGCCUAAUACAUGCAAGUCGAGCGAACAGAUAAGGAGCUUGCUCCUUUGACGUUAGCGGCGGACGGGUGAGUAACACGUGGGUAACCUACCUAUAAGACUGGGAUAACUUCGGGAAACCGGAGCUAAUACCGGAUAAUAUUUCGAACCGCAUGGUUCGAUAGUGCAAGAUGGUUUUGCUAUCACUUAUAGAUGGACCCGCGCCGUAUUAGCUAGUUGGUAAGGUAACGGCUUACCAAGGCGACGAUACGUAGCCGACCUGAGAGGGUGAUCGGCCACACUGGAACUGAGACACGGUCCAGACUCCUACGGGAGGCAGCAGUAGGGAAUCUUCCGCAAUGGGCGAAAGCCUGACGGAGCAACGCCGCGUGAGUGAUGAAGGUCUUCGGAUCGAAAAACUCUGUUAUUAGGGAAGAACAUACGUGUAAGUAACUGUGCACGUCUUGACGGUACCUAAUCAGAAAGCCACGGCUAACUACGUG
This 497-nucleotide ribosomal RNA is filed under the name uncultured bacterium. RNAcentral's name for it is "partial 16S ribosomal RNA". It matches the Rfam family "Bacterial small subunit ribosomal RNA", at positions 28 to 507 of the family's 1533-position model. The record is from RNAcentral.